RNAcentral lists this ribosomal RNA (253 nucleotides) under uncultured bacterium. RNAcentral describes it as "partial 16S ribosomal RNA". It matches the Rfam family "Bacterial small subunit ribosomal RNA", at positions 524 to 776 of the family's 1533-position model. The record is from RNAcentral.
UACGGGGGGGGCAAGCGUUGUUCGGAAUCACUGGGCGUAAAGGGUGCGUAGGCGGCAUUUUAAGUCAGUGGUGAAAUACUUCAGCUUAACUGGAGAGGUGCCAUUGAUACUGGGAUGCUUGAGUACUGAUGAGGUAGGCGGAAUGGACGGUGUAGCGGUGAAAUGCUUAGAUAUCGUCCAGAACACCGAUAGCGAAGGCAGCUUACUAAGGAGUAACUGACGCUGAGGCACGAAAGUGUGGGGAUCAAACAGG